This 469-nucleotide ribosomal RNA is filed under the name uncultured bacterium. Its description in RNAcentral is "partial 16S ribosomal RNA". It matches the Rfam family "Bacterial small subunit ribosomal RNA", at positions 28 to 507 of the family's 1533-position model. The record is from RNAcentral.
GACGAACGCUGGCGGCGUGCUUAACACAUGCAAGUCGAACGGAAAGGCCCUGCUUGCAGGGUGCUCGAGUGGCGAACGGGUGAGUAACACGUGGGUGAUCUGCCCCUUACUUUGGGAUAAGCCUGGGAAACUGGGUCUAAUACUGGAUAGGACCAUGCUGUAGGUGGUGUGGUGGAAAGAUUAGUUUCGGUAAGGGAUGAGCUCGCGGCCUAUCAGCUUGUUGGUGGGGUAAUGGCCUACCAAGGCGUCGACGGGUAGCCGGCCUGAGAGGGUGGACGGCCACAUUGGGACUGAGGUGCGGCCCAGACUCCUACGGGAGGCAGCAGUGGGGGAUAUUGUACAAUGGGCGCAAGCCUGAUGCAGCGACGCCGCGUGGGGGAUGACGGCCUUCGGGUUGUAAACUCCUUUCAGCCAUGACGAAGCCCUUGUGGUGACGGUAGUGGUAGAAGAAGCACCGGCUAACUACGUG